UACGGAGGGGGCUAGCGUUGUUCGGAAUUACUGGGCGUAAAGCGCGCGUAGGCGGCUUUGUAAGCUAGAGGUGAAAGCCCGGAGCUCAACUCCGGAACUGCCUUUAAGACUGCAUCGCUAGAAUUGUGGAGAGGUGAGUGGAAUUCCGAGUGUAGAGGUGAAAUUCGUAGAUAUUCGGAAGAACACCAGUGGCGAAGGCGACUCACUGGACACAUAUUGACGCUGAGGUGCGAAAGCGUGGGGAGCAAACAGG
This 253-nucleotide ribosomal RNA is filed under the name uncultured bacterium. RNAcentral's name for it is "partial 16S ribosomal RNA". It matches the Rfam family "Bacterial small subunit ribosomal RNA", at positions 524 to 776 of the family's 1533-position model. The record is from RNAcentral.